This 257-nucleotide ribosomal RNA is filed under the name uncultured bacterium. RNAcentral's name for it is "partial 16S ribosomal RNA". It matches the Rfam family "Bacterial small subunit ribosomal RNA", at positions 524 to 776 of the family's 1533-position model. The record is from RNAcentral.
UACAGAGACCUCAAGCGUUAUCCGGAAUCAUUGGGCGUAAAGCGUUCCGAUAGGUGGUUUUACAAGUCAGAAGUGAAAUCUCUCAGCUCAACUGGGAGACUGUCUUUUGAAACUGUAAAACUAGAGGGGCAAAGAGGAAGCUGGAACGAACGGUGUAGUAGUGAAAUGCGUUGAUAUCGUUCGGAACACCAAUAGCGUAGGCAGGCUUCUGGGUGCCACCUGACACUGCUAGGACGAAAGCGUGGGUAGCGAAUGGG